Molecule: ribosomal RNA, 460 nt
Filed under: uncultured bacterium
Lineage: Bacteria
Description: partial 16S ribosomal RNA
Rfam family: Bacterial small subunit ribosomal RNA
Source: RNAcentral
CCUACGGGUGGCAGCAGUGAGGAAUAUUGGUCAAUGGGCUUACGCCUGAACCAGCCAAGUCGCGUGAGGGAAGACUGCCCUAUGGGUUGUAAACCUCUUUUGUCAGGGAGCAACGCCGGCUACGUGUAGCCGGACUGAGAGUACCUGAAGAAAAAGCAUCGGCGACCGCCGUGCCAGCAGCCGCGGUAAUACGGAGGAUGCGAGCGUUAUCCGGAUUUAUGGGGUUUAAAGGGUGCGUAGGCGGAAUGCCAAGUCACCGGUCAAAGCGCGGGGCUCAACCUCGCUCCGCCGUUGAAACUGGCGUUCUGUAGUGGGCGAGAAGUAUGCGGAAUGCGUGGUGUAGCGGUGAAAUGCAUAGAUAUCACGCAGAACUCCGAUUGCGAAGGCAGCAUACCGGCGCCCAACUGACGCUGCCGCACGCAAGCGUGGGUAUCGAACAGGAUUAGAUACCCCAGUAGUC